UACGGAGGGUGCUAGCGUUGUUCGGAAUUACUGGGCGUAAAGGGCGCGUAGGCGGCCUGUUAAGUCGAACGUGAAAUCCCCGGGCUCAACCCGGGAACUGCGUCCGAAACUGGCAGGCUCGAACUCGGGAGAGGGAUGCGGAAUUCCAGGUGUAGCGGUGAAAUGCGUAGAUAUCUGGAGGAACAUCGGUGGCGAAGGCGGCAUCCUGGACCGAUAUUGACGUUGAGGCGCGAAAGCCAGGGGAGCAAACGGG
RNAcentral lists this ribosomal RNA (253 nucleotides) under uncultured bacterium. RNAcentral describes it as "partial 16S ribosomal RNA". It matches the Rfam family "Bacterial small subunit ribosomal RNA", at positions 524 to 776 of the family's 1533-position model. The record is from RNAcentral.